RNAcentral lists this ribosomal RNA (1534 nucleotides) under Lactiplantibacillus plantarum. RNAcentral describes it as "Lactobacillus plantarum 16S ribosomal RNA". It matches the Rfam family "Bacterial small subunit ribosomal RNA". The record is from RNAcentral. Lineage: Bacteria; Bacillati; Bacillota; Bacilli; Lactobacillales; Lactobacillaceae.
AGAGUUUGAUCCUGGCUCAGGACGAACGCUGGCGGCGUGCCUAAUACAUGCAAGUCGAACGAACUCUGGUAUUGAUUGGUGCUUGCAUCAUGAUUUGCAUUUGAGUGAGUGGCGAACUGGUGAGUAACACGUGGGAAACCUGCCCAGAAGCGGGGGAUAACACCUGGAAACAGAUGCUAAUACCGCUAUAACAACUUGGACCGCAUGGUCCGAGUUUGAAAGAUGGCUUCGGGCUAUCACUUUUGGAUGGUCCCGCGGCGUAUUAGCUAGAUGGUGGGGUAACGGCUCACCAUGGCAAUGAUACGUAGCCGACCUGAGAGGGUAAUCGGCCACAUUGGGACUGAGACACGGCCCAAACUCCUACGGGAGGCAGCAGUAGGGAAUCUUCCACAAUGGACGAAAGUCUGAUGGAGCAACGCCGCGUGAGUGAAGAAGGGUUUCGGCUCGUAAAACUCUGUUGUUAAAGAAGAACAUAUCUAGAGAGUAACUAGUUCAGGUAUUGACGGUAUUUAACCAGAAAGCCACGGCUAACUACGUGCCAGCAGCCGCGGUAAUACGUAGGUGGCAAGCGUUGUCCGGAUUUAUUGGGCGUAAAGCGAGCGCAGGCGGUUUUUUAAGUCUGAUGUGAAAGCCUUCGGCUCAACCGAAGAAGUGCAUCGGAAACUGGGAAACUUGAGUGCAGAAGAGGACAGUGGAACUCCAUGUGUAGCGGUGAAAUGCGUAGAUAUAUGGAAGAACACCAGUGGCGAAGGCGGCUGUCUGGUCUGUAACUGACGCUGAGGCUCGAAAGUAUGGGUAGCAAACAGGAUUAGAUACCCUGGUAGUCCAUACCGUAAACGAUGAAUGCUAAGUGUUGGAGGGUUUCCGCCCUUCAGUGCUGCAGCUAACGCAUUAAGCAUUCCGCCUGGGGAGUACGGCCGCAAGGCUGAAACUCAAAGGAAUUGACGGGGGCCCGCACAAGCGGUGGAGCAUGUGGUUUAAUUCGAAGCUACGCGAAGAACCUUACCAGGUCUUGACAUACUAUGCAAAUCUAAGAGAUUAGACGUUCCCUUCGGGGACAUGGAUACAGGUGGUGCAUGGUUGUCGUCAGCUCGUGUCGUGAGAUGUUGGGUUAAGUCCCGCAACGAGCGCAACCCUUAUUAUCAAGUUGCCAGCAUUAAGUUGGGCACUCUGGUGAGACUGCCGGUGACAAACCGGAGGAAGGUGGGGAUGACGUCAAAUCAUCAUGCCCCUUAUGACCUGGGCUACACACGUGCUACAAUGGAUGGUACAACGAGUUGCAGAACUCGCGAGAGUAAGCUAAUCUCUUAAAGCCAUUCUCAGUUCGGAUUGUAGGCUGCAACUCGCCUACAUGAAGUCGGAAUCGCUAGUAAUCGCGGAUCAGCAUGCCGCGGUGAAUACGUUCCCGGGCCUUGUACACACCGCCCGUCACACCAUGAGAGUUUGUAACACCCAAAGUCGGUGGGGUAACCUUUUAGGAACCAGCCGCCUAAGGUGGGACAGAUGAUUAGGGUGAAGUCGUAACAAGGUAACC